UUAAGCGUAGUGUGGGGAAACCUGCAUGCUGCGUUUCUAAGGGAGGGAGUAGUAGUAAUAUUGCUUCCUUACCUGAC
Molecule: non-coding RNA, 77 nt
Filed under: Wolbachia endosymbiont of Aleurodicus dispersus
Lineage: Bacteria; Pseudomonadati; Pseudomonadota; Alphaproteobacteria; Rickettsiales; Anaplasmataceae
Source: RNAcentral